This 492-nucleotide ribosomal RNA is filed under the name uncultured bacterium. Its description in RNAcentral is "partial 16S ribosomal RNA". It matches the Rfam family "Bacterial small subunit ribosomal RNA", at positions 29 to 507 of the family's 1533-position model. The record is from RNAcentral.
AGUGAACGCUGGCGGUAGGCCUAUCACAUGCAAGUCGAACGGCAGCACAGUAAGAGCUUGCUCUUACGGGUGGCGAGUGGCGGACGGGUGAGGAAUACAUCGGAAUCUACUUUUUCGUGGGGGAUAACGUAGGGAAACUUACGCUAAUACCGCAUACGACCUACGGGUGAAAGCAAGGGAUCUUCGGACCUUGCGCGAUUGAAUGAGCCGAUGUCGGAUUAGCUAGUUGGCGGGGUAAAGGCCCACCAAGGCGACGAUCCGUAGCUGGUCUGAGAGGAUGAUCAGCCACACUGGAACUGAGACACGGUCCAGACUCCUACGGGAGGCAGCAGUGGGGAAUAUUGGACAAUGGGCGCAAGCCUGAUCCAGCCAUACCGCGUGGGUGAAGAAGGCCUUCGGGUUGUAAAGCCCUUUUGUUGGGAAAGAAAAGCAGCAGGUUAAUACCCCGCUGUUCUGACGGUACCCAAAGAAUAAGCACCGGCUAACUUCGUG